This 231-nucleotide ribosomal RNA is filed under the name uncultured bacterium. RNAcentral's name for it is "partial 16S ribosomal RNA". It matches the Rfam family "Bacterial small subunit ribosomal RNA", at positions 15 to 244 of the family's 1533-position model. The record is from RNAcentral.
GAUCCUGGCUCAGGAUGAACGCUGGCGGCGUGCCUAAUACAUGCAAGUCGAGCGGUAGCACAGAGAGCUUGCUCUCGGGUGACGAGCGGCGGACGGGUGAGUAAUGUCUGGGAAACUGCCUGAUGGAGGGGGAUAACUACUGGAAACGGUAGCUAAUACCGCAUAACGUCGCAAGACCAAAGUGGGGGACCUUCGGGCCUCAUGCCAUCAGAUGUGCCCAGAUGGGAUUAG